CAAGCCUCCUUGACGCUGCUAAUAGUCUUGGAUUCAUAGGCUGGCGAUGAUUGAGAUAUUCCCACACGCAAUUUCUGCUGAUCCACAUGAAGGUUAAACUUCCUUGGACGUCUGAGCCAC
This 120-nucleotide small nucleolar RNA is filed under the name Caenorhabditis remanei. RNAcentral describes it as "C. elegans snoRNA ceN33". It matches the Rfam family "C. elegans snoRNA ceN33". Lineage: Eukaryota; Metazoa; Nematoda; Chromadorea; Rhabditida; Rhabditidae. RNAcentral also lists the same sequence under 1 other name. The record is from Rfam by way of RNAcentral.